UGGGCAUCUAAAUGUUAGCUGGGGAAGCUACUGAAUGAAACAAUCAGACCCUGGGCAUCUCAAGGUUGCAGCUUUCUUGCUCAGACUAUGUUGCAGUAGGGCUGGUGAGGGCCACUGCUGGCAAAAGCAGGAUGGAGGUGAGCUCCUCACACAGUCCCAUGAAAGUGGCUUUUCUCAUCCGAAAGUUCUGCAGCCUCUGCUUGUCAUCCCAGACUUCCAGGACGAUGUGAUCCCACCACUCAGUGCUUGUUUCCUGAGCCCAAAAGCAGCAUUCUAUGGUGAGUAACUCGACUGCCAAACAUGAUGUGCUGACAAGACUCAUCAGCAUAUUCCUCAGCAGUUCGGGCUCCAUUCCCGCAGACCGAAAGGGAAGACAGAGCGCGCAGUACAAAAAAUGUUGAAAGAUGGCGCCAAAUGUGGAUGGAAGCACAAGGAUUGCUGGGAUGCGAACCGAUGCAUCACUGGGUGUUGGGACAGGACCCAGAAUGCCCUCCACCUCCUUCCCACAAGCCACAGCACCAGAAUGGGAAGAGGUGCUCUGUGGGAGAGGUGCUCAUAAUGCACCACUCCCAAUGCCGCUGCAAGUGCUGCAAAUGUGGCCACACCAGUGCGCUUGCAGCUGUCAGGGUGGACAGACUGCAGCGCUUUCCCUACUGCACUCUCCGAAGGCUGGUUUAACUCAAAGCGCUCUACAUUUGCAAGUAUAGCCAUGCCCUUAGUGUUGUUCAGUGCCUUAUGCAGGACCUUUGUAUGGAGGUGGAUUUCAUCUUUGCAGGGUAACUCUCUCCACAUCCCAGCAAGAGCAUUUCUGGCUUGUGAGUGACUCUUCUCUGUAAUGAAGGUAUGAUCUCAGGGUUACCUUUAAUCUAGGUGAUCCUUUUUGGUCUUCCCCAGAAAUAUCACAGGCCUGUUUCUAUCAUCCUAACAAAUGCAGAACUCCCAUUAAAAAUCAGUAGGAGUUACAUUCUGUGAGGGCGAUAGGGGCAGGAAGCAUUCUGAAGCACUUUCAGGUGAAAGAUGCAGUAUACGUACGAGCAGGAUUUUUCAUAAGCUUUCUGAUUACACUUAGCCUUGUAGUAGCUGAGCAUCUGACAAACAUAUAGCCUCACGACCUCCCUGGGAGCAAGGGAAGUAUUAUUUUUCUCAGUCUGGCUUCCCUAACUCACACAAGUAGUCUAUGGCGGAGAUGAGAAUAAAACCUAGAUCUCCCGAUUCCCACGUCUGGGCCUUACUCACAAAGCCAUCACUUUGCUUUAUUGAUAAAACAGAGUCCUGAAAGCAAUGUACUGCACGAGUCUCAACCUCUAAAACCGAACUGUCACACAGGCCUUUUAAAUGUGUGGCAAAGUCUAAUUAAAGAGAUACAUGAUGAAAAUUGA
Malaclemys terrapin pileata is the source of this 1379-nucleotide long non-coding RNA. RefSeq lists it as uncharacterized. NCBI's taxonomy places the organism in Eukaryota, Metazoa, Chordata, Testudines, Emydidae. The transcript has 3 exons. The record is from RefSeq and is a predicted model, not a curated record.